GUGAGUAGUUCAGAGUUUGAUCCUGGCUCAGGAUGAACGCUAGCGACAGGCCUAACACAUGCAAGUCGAGGGGCAGCAUGAAAUUAGCUUGCUAAUUUUGAUGGCGACCGGCGCACGGGUGAGUAACACGUAUGCAACCUGCCUGUAAGCGGGGGAUAACCCGGAGAAAUUCGGACUAAUACCGCAUGACAUAUCCGAAGGGCAUCCUUUGGAUAUCAAAGCUUUAUGUGCUGGAAGAUGGCCUCGCGUCUGAUUAGAUAGUUGGUGGGGUAACGGCCUACCAAGUCGACGAUCAGUAGCCGGUCUGAGAGGAUGAACGGCCACAUUGGGACUGAGAUACGGCCCAG
This 347-nucleotide ribosomal RNA is filed under the name uncultured bacterium. RNAcentral describes it as "bacterial SSU rRNA". It matches the Rfam family "Bacterial small subunit ribosomal RNA", at positions 1 to 334 of the family's 1533-position model. The record is from RNAcentral.